CGUUGGCUAAUCCGCCUAACCGUUUUUAACCCAUUUUGAUGCCUGAAAGAUGCCAUUGCAUCGCUAGUAGAUGGACCUGCGUUGUAUUAGCUAGUAGGUAGGGUAAAGGCCUACCUAGGCAACGAUACAUAGCCGACCUGAGAGGGUGAUCGGCCCCCACUGGGACUGAGACACGGCCCAGAUUCCUACGGGAGGCAGCAGUAGGGAAUCUUCGGCAAUGGGGGGAACCCUGACCGAGCAACGCCGCGUGAGUGAAGAAGGUUUUCGGAUCGUAAAGCUCUGUUGUUAAGGAAGAACGAGUGUGAGAAUGGAAAGUUCAUACUGUGACGGUACUUAACCAGAAAGGGACGGCUAACUACGUGCCAGCAGCCGCGGUAAUACGUAGGUCCCGAGCGUUGUCCGGAUUUAUUGGGCGUAAAGCGAGCGCAGGCGGUUAGAAAAGUCUGAAGUGAAAGGCAGUGGCUCAACCAUUGUAGGCUUUGGAAACUGUUUAACUUGAGUGCAGAAGGGGAGAGUGGAAUUCCAUGUGUAGCGGUGAAAUGCGUAGAUAUAUGGAGGAACACCGGUGGCGAAAGCGGCUCUCUGGUCUGUAACUGACGCUGAGGCUCGAAAGCGUGGGGAGCGAACAGGAUUAGAUACCCUGGUAGUCCACGCCGUAAACGAUGAGUGCUAGGUGUUAGGUCCUUUCCGGGACUUAGUGCCGCAGCUAACGCAUUAAGCACUCCGCCUGGGGAGUACGACCGCAAGGUUGAAACUCAAAGGAAUUGACGGGGGCCCGCACAAGCGGUGGAGCAUGUGGUUUAAUUCGAAGCAACGCGAAGAACCUUACCAGGUCUUGACAUCCCGAUGCUAUUUCUAGAGAUAGGAAGUUUCUUCGGAACAUCGGUGACAGGUGGUGCAUGGUUGUCGUCAGCUCGUGUCGUGAGAUGUUGGGUUAAGUCCCGCAACGAGCGCAACCCUUAUUGUUAGUUGCCAUCAUUGAGUUGGGCACUCUAGCGAGACUGCCGGUAAUAAACCGGAGGAAGGUGGGGAUGACGUCAAAUCAUCAUGCCCCUUAUGACCUGGGCUACACACGUGCUACAAUGGCUGGUACAACGAGUCGCAAGCCGGUGACGGCAAGCUAAUCUCUGAAAGCCAGUCUCAGUUCGGAUUGUAGGCUGCAACUCGCCUACAUGAAGUGGGAACCGUUAGUUUCGCCGAGCAUCAGGAAGUGGUAACAAGGUACCCGUACAGUUUGAUCAUGGCUCAGGAAGUCGUAACAAGGUAACCGUAGAGUUUGAUCUGGCUCAGGAAGUCGUAACAAGGUACCCGUAG
RNAcentral lists this ribosomal RNA (1314 nucleotides) under Streptococcus anginosus. Its description in RNAcentral is "bacterial SSU rRNA". It matches the Rfam family "Bacterial small subunit ribosomal RNA", at positions 157 to 1505 of the family's 1533-position model. The record is from RNAcentral. Lineage: Bacteria; Bacillati; Bacillota; Bacilli; Lactobacillales; Streptococcaceae.